This is a long non-coding RNA of Lycium ferocissimum, 3456 nucleotides long. RefSeq lists it as uncharacterized. The record is from RefSeq and is a predicted model, not a curated record. NCBI's taxonomy places the organism in Eukaryota, Viridiplantae, Streptophyta, Magnoliopsida, Solanales, Solanaceae. The transcript has 4 exons.
UUAAUUGCUGGUUUAAUGGCUUCCAACGUUCUUUCAGUAUGGCUUUAACUAAGCUAUUUUCUUAGAAUAUUAAUCUGAAAUGUGAUCAUAGGCAGCAUGUAGCUCUUUAUUCGUUGCUGCCUGUGGAUUUCAAAUGUGAUUUAUCCAGGACCUGCAGGGUUGUCCGCAAGCUUGUGCUACCUGUCCUUUUUUUUUUUUUUUAAAGGGCAACCCCUUGCACAAAGCAUCCCCCAUUAGCAGGGUCCGGAGAAGGGCUGCCGCAUAAUUUAUUUUGAAAUAGGUAGCUUCCCGAAUGAUUUAAGCUUUUCAAAGAUUGUUUUGAGAUGGAAAAAAAAUCAUUUUACAUUGUUCAGUAGAAGUACUUCUAAUGCACUCAACACAGCAAGGUAGCCCUAGAAUUUCUAAUGGUUCUUUUCAUCUUUGAAACUGUGAAGAACAAGAAUCCUCUAAUUUGCUUGUAAGUGAUAUAUGAUUUAAAAUUACCUGGUUUAAUGUUGAAAAGAAACAUUUUAGAUUGAGGAGGGGUUAGAGGAAAUUGAAUGCUUCGAGAGUUCAUUGGUACUUUGAAUGUCAAAAGUUUGAAGCACUCUAGCUCCACAUAUGAACACAACUGCAAAAAUUCUCAUAUCUAAAAGUCUUCUAUGUAGAUUUUGUUACUUGACCAGAUUGGAAAUGGAAUCAUAAAUGUUCAUAGAAGAUUUCAUUAAUUUGCUCUUGUUGAUCAAAUUCAUAGAAGAUAUAUGGUUAAAUGUUUAGGAGGUUUAUAUUUUAAGUUGAGAACGUUAGGUGCACCUAAGGGUGCUAUUAAUUUGAAGAAUGGAUAAUUCAUACUUUUGUGCUAGGUCACUUCUUUAAACAAGUUAUUGAUGAAUUUAUGCUGAGAGUUAUGAGUUUGACAUGGCCACCAUGUUACUAGCUACCUGAUAAGUCACUUAAGUUUUAAUUCAUGACCUGAUUUCUGGACUUGUUUUAGAUGUUUUUGCUUUUUCUCAAGUGAUAAUGGGCAAUAUAUAUGGAUGAUAGACAACAAGUCAUAUUUUGUGGUACUGGGAGUUGUUCAUUCAGUCCGACAAGGUUAAUAGAUUUAAGAUUCGUUUAUAUUAUUGUUCUUCCUACUUCCUAUUGAUGAAUGUUCUUUGUGAGUGUCCUUUUUCCAUGUUAGCUUGACCAAUAACCACUAAAAAUCAACAACAAAAAACCUCGGUGCUCUUGCCAGCCCCUGGGGAUUUCUCUGUUGUAUAUAAAAAACUUUUUUUCUUCAUAUUUUGUAUUUGGUUCAUGUUCAUGCAUUAUGUAUAAAAAAAAUCACCUCUUUCCUUUGGUGAAACGAGGGUAAUAAGUGGUAAAUUUGCUAGUGAACGCACAACAAAAGUACAAAUGGGGAAAGCUAAGCAGAGGCCAGAUCUUUAGUGCCAUUCUGGAUUGUUUUGGCACAAAUUGACCUGGAUACUGGUGAUGCUGCUAGUUUAGCUUUGAUGUGGAGCAACCCCUUGAGGUCAAAAAGAGAGUGUAGGAAGGUUGUAAGCUGUCCUCUCCAUCACCUCAAAGUGCUCAGGUUGCGCGGAUAUUAUGGCCGCACUAGUGAACUCGAACUCGUUAGGUAUUUUUUGGAAAAUGCCAAUGUGCUUGAGAUAAUCAUUGUUGAUCCUCGUGAUCGACAUAAUUUUCGUGUCCUGUUGGAACGAAAAGAUAAAAAGGAGGAGCAAAUCGCAAGAAAUUUCGCUAAGCUCCAGCUUGAAAGUGAAGUACCUCCGCAUAUUGAGUUGGUGAUACUUUGAAAGUAAGUUAUUUGCGGAAAUAAUAUAUGUUAGUUUUCAGUUAUUUGGACCUAUCCGCUUAAAAUAACGAGUGUAUUUCUUGUGGAGCUUUAUGUAUGAUCUAAUUUAUAUAUCGACAUUUACUUAUUUCUUGUUUAUUUACCCUUCAAUUCCUUGAUAGUAAUAUUUACUUCAACGCUCAAAAUUUAGAAGUUACUUUUGUAAUUAGUCUUUUUGUCUUUAUACAUCAUGUUCUCCUAUUUUUGACUAAGCACAGUGGAUGUGCGCAUCCUGAGCACCAUUUGGACAGUUGAAAAUUAAUUGCUGGUUAAUGGCUUCCAACAUUCUUUCAAUAUGACUUACCUGACCGAAGCUUUCUCUUAGAAUAUUAGCAUUAAAAGUGAUCAUAGGCAGCAUGUAACUCUUUAUUAUUUGUGCCUUUGGAUCUCAUCUAGAUUUAUCCAGGACCUGUAAAGUUAUCUAAAAGCUCGAUCUUCCUGCUGUUUUAUCUUGAAAUAGGUAGCUUCCCAAAAGGUUUAAGUUUCUCUAAGUUUGUUUCGACACCAAAGAAAAUAGUGUUCCAUUGUUCAGUACAAGUACUUCUAAUGCACUCAAAGUAGAAUGCUUUGAGAGCUCAUUGGAACUAAUCCUCAAGUUUCUGAACAGCUGCAAUUUUUUUGUUGUUUGAAGUUUGAACCAAUUUGAAAUGGAAUUACAAAAUGUUCAUAGCAGUUUUCUUUGCCUGCCAUGAUCAAACUAACAAAACGUUUAUAUUUUUAAGAUAUGAAUGUUUGGAGGUCUGCCUCUGCUAUUUGAGGAAUGUUUAAUUUAUUACUUUAGUGCUCUUUAAGCAAGUUACUUAUAAAUUUAUGCUGAGAGUUAACCAACAAGGUCGUUCUAGUAUAGUGGUAAGUAUUCCCCCCGUCACGCGGGUGACAAUGUUCGAUCCUGGCAACAACAUUACAUAUUUUUCGUUAUUUCGUCUCCGUAAUGCUUUGAUAUGGUUUUUCUUAAAUUUAAUGGCUUGUUUUAGCAGUUUUUCUCUAAAUGGACAACCACAGCAAUGAUUGGAAAAUGUUGAAAUUUUCAACUUUGAGAUGUUAGAUUAUGUGGUACUGGAAAUGUUUCAUCCACUCAAACAGGGUUAAUGAGCAAUUUUACAUUAAAUAUGGUUUGAUCCGCACCCAACCCGUUUUUACCAUAUAUUAAUGGAUUCUAAGUAGUUAAAUGAUAUAGGUGUCAAAAGCAGAGGCGGAUCCAGGAUUUGAAACUUAUGGGUUCCCAGCUAGCAGUGUCUAUUGUUCUUGUGGGUUCUCAGCUCAAAUUUCUUAUAUAUUUGAAGGGUUUCACAUUAUAAAUACAAGGUUCGGAUAAAAGUUGUGGGUUCCCGUGAACCCACACCCAAUGGUGUGGAUCCGCCCCUGGUCAAAAGUGCGUAUACAGUCUAGGUUCAUGUAAUCAUCCAACUUAUUUUGAGGUUUGACAGAGAUUAGACGAGUGAUGCUUAACGAUUGAUUGCAAUGAAUUAAGUCCAAAUUGACUCGCCAGAUUUUUGGGUUGAAAUAGUUACACUAGUGUAAUAUGACAAUUUUGUUGUCAACCCACCCUUUGAAUGUCUUAAGCUAAAGUACUACUAAUUCCCUAGCUAAAAAAUUAAAAGAAAAGAAUGAAAUAAAUGGAUAGAGACUAUUUUUUCUAA